Pseudophryne corroboree (corroboree frog) is the source of this 1666-nucleotide long non-coding RNA. RefSeq lists it as uncharacterized. The transcript has 3 exons. Lineage: Eukaryota; Metazoa; Chordata; Amphibia; Anura; Myobatrachidae. The record is from RefSeq and is a predicted model, not a curated record.
GACAACUGACAGGCACCGCCAAUUCUGGUCAGGAUUCAUCGAUCUCUACCAUGAGAAAGAGUGCCUGUGGCGUGUCAGAAGUCCAGACUAUGCCAACAGAACAAAGAGGAAUCGGGCAUAUCAACAGCUCAUCCAGUACAGUAGAGGCAGAAACUCUGUUGCCGAUGUGCAGAAGAAAAUAGCAAAUUUCCAAACAGUCUUUGUAAAUGAACACAAGAAGGUGCAGGAAUCGCAGCGAUCCGGAGCCGGGACAGAUGAGGUCUAUAGGUCGACGCUGUGAUACUAUGACCAACUGAAGUUUAUUUUGGAGCAAGAGCCGCAGGUAAGGUCACGGCACGCUCUGGAUCCAGAGUCUCCAGUUCUUGUGGAAGAAGAGGCCCAGGAGAGUCUGGAUCUGUAACUUACCCCGGAGCCUACCACAGGCCAAGGGGCAGACAUGGAGGAGCCGGUACUGGAGCCGGUGGCAACCCCACAGUCGCAUCCAGCAAGAACAAGGCGCAUGAUUCAUCAUCAUCAUCAUCAUCAUCAUAUAUAAGGCUUCAUAAAGAAGACCUCAUGAACCCUCCAUAUAGUCAAGAUAAGGACUGAAACAGGAGCGGCGCAAUACCUACUUACCCAUUCUAUUUCUGUUUUGUACUGUUCAAUAUUAAGUUUGGUGACUUCUGUUGGGUUUGCUCUUGUGGCCAUCUGGUUGCGCCUAGAAUAGUUAUAUUUGUCUUUUGAACUUGCUAGACUACUUAGGCUGGGUACACAUCACCACGAAGUGACAGCGAACCCACCGUUGUGCUAACUUUACCAGAUCUACGAUCAGUUUCUCAGACAUGCGGCGGGACGCCCAGCACAGGGCUAAUCCGCCCCGCAUGUUUGGCCCUACCCCCCCGCAAGGGUGCCAAAGCGCAAUGCUAUUGCACCCGCUGAGUAGCUCCCUGCCAGAGCAGCUCCUGCGUGCUGGCUGGGAGCUAACCGCCGUGUCUCGGGUCGCAACAGCUGUGUGUGAAGUCACGCAGCUGCCACGGUCCGGACACGCCUCAGUUGUCCAGACCACGCCCCGCUAACAGCAUUCUAACGCGGUUAGCAUGCCCCCUCCUGCCCCUGCCUGUCAUUCAGGCAGAGGCGAUUGCAGCCCUGAGAUGCUUUAAGCAUCUCACUGGGCUCCCGGGUGCAUGUGCACCAUCCACAUAGGGAUUCAGACUGCGAUCGCUGCCGCGAUCCAGUCUGAAUUAGGCCCACAGAUUCAAGUAUACACACUUACAGAUUGUUCACUCGAUGUGCCAGUCAGGACACCCAGCUGGGCGGGCAUUUGAAUUAGCCCGCCCAGCUGUGACAUAAGCACCCUGCAGCAAGUGUACGGGUGGCAGCCAGACUGUCCGUACACACAGUCAGAUGCGCAGAUAUAUUGGGCAUCAGCUGUGCUGCACGGCCAACCUGAUAUGUCUGCGAACAAAGUCGUUCACUGACAUAUCGGAUGUACACACCCGCCAAUGUGCUCGCGAUUUAUAGGCCAUCCGAUUAAUUGGAUGUUACAUCACCCAUUGUGUACCCAGUUUUACAGUCUGAUGUCACAAUUACCUUUUUAUUUCAAAUUGGUGAAAUGUCACUGAAUUAAUAAAGGAAACUUUGUAUUCUUUUGACCCUUUAUUGACAUGGUUAAAAAAUGUGCUUUUUG